Molecule: long non-coding RNA, 7737 nt
Filed under: Nicotiana benthamiana
Lineage: Eukaryota; Viridiplantae; Streptophyta; Magnoliopsida; Solanales; Solanaceae
Description: long non-coding RNA (NBEN_LNC041455)
Source: RNAcentral
UCCAAAGGUGAGAUGUAGGAUGGGUUGGCGGGGUAUAAUGGUGUCGGAUGCCCCUGAGACCAAGCCCGAUGCAUUUCGGCCAUUUGCUCUUUCAGUUUUCACAUCUCUUAUUUCAUAGCACCCACAUCUGUUACCUCAACUUCAUUUGUAGGGUCCACAAUACUGAUGUCUGAAUCCUGUGCUAUCAGGUCUACUUUAUCUUUCGAUCAGAUGUUCUACGGAUAGGUUGCCAUAAUGCCGGAUCAACUAACCACCUGUUUGUACUCACACAUUUGAACAACAACUUUGUUAGUGAUUAGGCUUUAACAGAUUUGAUAACUGCACGUUGGCAUGAAUGCACUUAUACAAUUAACCAUCUCUAUUAUGCAUUUGCUCGACUGCAUGCAUCAUCCCAGCCUUUUAUUUUUCCACCACAACUUUCUUUUCAUUUUCUCUUUUCUUUUUAUUUUUCACUCCUUUUCAAUUCUCUUUCUUUCUCUUUCUUUCUUUUCCAUUUUCUUAUCCUAUCCCUUCUUUGUUUUUUUCGCUCUUUAUUUUCUCUUAUUUACUCUCAUUUCUUAUUUUCAUUCCUUUUUUCCUUGUUUUUCCGCUUUUCUUUCUUUUUCAUCCUUCUCUAUUUUCGUCCCCCUGCGUUUUUUCAACAAUUACGGUUGAAUUUUUAACAAUUACGCUUGCCUACGUAUCGUGACCCCACACGAAUUAGACCAGGCGUAGUUCAUGCAAAUAAAUUUGAAAAUAAAGAGUAAAACAAUUUUUGGGAAUUUUUAAUUUUCAUUACAAAAACAAACUAUUACAAACUAAACACUUUUGCAGAAAGGAAAUAAUAGACACAAACUAACACCAAAAAAAUAAGUCCACAACUGCAUGCAAAGUUUGACACAAAAGACAACGGACAGACAAACAUCAGACAGAAAAUAAGAAAAUACAGACGCAAAUUAUGCAUACUCUAAUGCUUCAAUUGUGGGUGCCCGUGGGGCAUCGUUCGGCCUUCCGCGGGCUUAGGUUCCAAAUCAUUUUCAAGUUUUUCUAACUCAUUCAUGGUCUGCAUCACACAGAUUAUCACUGCUGAGACGAAAGUAGUGGGAGUCAUGUCUUCACAUGUAUGACAUCUCCUAAAACUGGCGUGAGCAAUGGCCAUGAUCUUGUUUCUUGUUUGCUUCUAUUCUAUAAGCAGGCGUUUUAUCCGAUUACUUCAUGUCUUUAACGCCUGAGAAUCCUGCAGAUGUUGUUUCUGAAACUGCUGCACUUCCUCCUCCACUUGGGCCAACAGGUCGUAACAUUGUCCACUUUCAAUUUAAAAAUUUCUAGCCAGCUUAACCGUUUUAUCCUCAAGAGUGGCCAUCUUUCUCUUCAAAUUGGCAACGGUUUUCUCGUGAUCCCUUUUCAACUGCUGUAUGUACCAAUUGCGCUCCUCCGUUCUUUUCUCCCACUAUGCCUUGAGUUCUACUAUGAUAUUCUCACAUUUCUCCAAUUCUUCCCGGCACUCACUGAUUUCAUUCUGCAACCCCUUUAUCAAGCGCUCAUCCGACCGGCUCCUCGGUUGUUUACCAGCGACUAUUCUCAUCCGCUGGAUUUGGGCCCUAAGCACCUCGUUCUCUUGGGCUAACCUAUUCUUUUCUCCCUGAUCAAACGGCAUGCACAUUGUUUUCAAAUUACAGGUUCUCAAUCUGUUGCUUUAGUUUUCCUAUUUAUGCCUUGUAACUUUCUUCUUUUGCUAGCCAACCCCAUUGUUCUUGCUUAUAAUCCGUGAAUUGUUGGACUUGGGAUCUUUUAGCGGGCCUCUGAUGAAUCUGGAACCUUUUCCCAAACCAUGCACUAUACUUCGGAUCCACCUCACCUUUAGCUAAAUUUCAUACCAUAGUUUUAGGCUCAAGGAAUCUGCAUUCACUCCACCAGUUGCGAAUUUCAUCUUCCGGGAACGUGGCUCUCGGACUUAACUUGAUGACAUGCUUGCUCAAAUCUUUGUCUUUAGGGACAAGUUGGAACCUUCCGAAUAGUCACAAUACCCGAUGGGGAGCAUAUGGUUGGAUGCUCGGGAUACCCACCAACAAACAAUAACACUCUCCCGCUGCCAUGUGUACCAUCUCGGUAAUAGAUAACAACCCGAAUGCCUACUCAAUUUGUUCUACCGUAAGUGACCUCAGUCGUACAAACCAAUAUUUAGUACUCUCAGUGAAUGCAACACCCGUUACCCGCUUUUAAAAUUAUUCAAUACAACUUAAACCAGUCAGCCCAUAGGUCAUAUACCCCACUCGAUGGCAAAGAUGUUCUUGCAUCCACAACUAAAGUAAUAAAUUGCAUCAGUGGAAAAAAACCUCCUCCUUCCUUGCUCAUAGUCAAUGCUCGGUACAUUUCUGACAAGAUCAGGGGGGAAGGGGAAACUACAGUGCUAUCAACCCUCUUAAUUUCGACAUCAACCAUCCCCAUAAUACCUAUCUCUAUUUUCAUAUCUUCUCGUGGACAGACUACGAUUCCCAAGAAUGCCGUUAUGAAUGCCAAAGUGCAUCUUGCUUCCCAUUUACUUCUGCUUCCAGAAUGAGUCAGCCCCAAAUUUGGUUCUUUGAAACCCCGUGGAGUACCAUAACGCUGAUAUAGGAACUGAAGAGCACAACAUCCCCCUGACAAAUUAUCAUUUUGCACGGUCUGGCUAAUAUUUAGAAAAUCCAAAAAUCGAUGCGGAGAUACCGACCUUGGUGACAUUAGAUAUUGACCCCUCAAAUUUCCAUUCAACCAUGCAUAACCUGCGAUUUCCUCCAGCGUGGGUGUAAGCACAAAAUAUGCAAAGCGAAAUACAUUACGGGUUGGGUCUCAAAAUGGUAUCAAAGCCUCGACGAUAUCCGACCUUGCCCUGACAUUUAGUAGACCUAUGAGACCUCCCAAAACUCUGGCCACUAUUUCUUCGCUGCUUUUUUCCAAAUCGUUCCACCACACAUGGAGCAUAAGGGGGACCUCACUGGAGACGGUGAAAGGUUUGUUUUUAUUUGUGCUCAUCCUGCACAUUUAUUAAGGCGAUUAAAAGGAGUAAACAUUUUAUUCGAUUCAAAACAAAGCUACUAUAUUUGCAUUACAAAUUAAAAAUGAAAGACUCGUUUUUUCACACACGGCCUUUCAGCACUUCGGAAACGAAGAUUUUAAGCCUGUAUAGAUUAACCGGUCCAAAUCCUAAAAUUGACCAAAGGUGGUCAUUUAUGCACAGUCAGCCUUCCGGCGUACCUUUUGGGAACAUUCGACUGUGAUUGACAAAACGGCAUCACCCGACUUAUUUAUGACAAAAAUUAUAAUUUUGACAUUUUUUGGCUAUUUUGCAAAAGGGGAGGUUCGACCGGAUGAGGGUUGCCUACGUAUCUCACAUCCGGUGAAAAUCAAACCUGCGUAGUUCGGGCAAAACUAACCGAACCAUUUUAAAACAGGACUCCUUUUGUAUUUUCUUUUUUGGCAUUACAAAAAAAAAAUUACUUUUAAAACAAGACUUUUUUUCUUUUCUUUUCAACAAACAAUAAAACAUCCUAUUUUUCCAAACCUAAAAAUAAAAGACUCUUUUUUGUUUUCUUUUUCAACAAACAAGGAAACAACCUAUUUUUCUUUUUUUGUUGGCAAAUAAGCUAUUUUGAAAACCAAAAAUCAAGACUGUUUCUCUUUUUCCAUUUUUCAUGGAAAAAGAAACUAUCUUUCCUUUUCCAUUUUUUGAAAACAAGAGAAACUAAAAUAAAAGACUCUUUUUCACUUUUUUUUUCUGCUUUUCUAUAUAAAACAUAAAAUAUUUUUUUAUUCAAAAUUCCAGCAUAGUUUUGACAGUAUUCGGGCAUUGUUUUUUCUUUCUAAAACGGGCAAUUAACUCUCUACACUGUUAUUUCUCUUUUUUUCACAGUUUUUUGAUAUUCCCGGGGUUUAGAAGCCGGUCAGCGUUCUAGUCCAAACAAAUAAAUGCAUAGAAAACAAGUAGGAUAUAUCAAGAUGGUCUUUUUCAUUUCAGGUUGCUAGCCCUAGAUGGACCAACCCAUGUGUUUGUCCCUAAGUCAAAAUGUAUAUGAUGCAAAUAAGCGUUCCUACUAGGGAUCCGGCAUGAAGUUGAGUUAUUCGAGGUUCAGAACUUGGGUGUUUAUUCUAGACCUGGCUUACCCAAUCGGACAGCUCGAGCCGAAGGUGAGGCAGCGUACUUGGAAUAUAGAAGCUUCACUGGCUUUGCAACUUAUCCAAAUCUCGUUCUAAAUUUGGAAUUUGACACAAUACAUAAAAGAAGUCACACGAAGUGCACCCUUCUUCAUGAUUUAGAAGACUUAGAGAGGAGAUGGGUUUCGGCACAGUUUAUAUACAAUUCACGGAAUAUCAAAGCAGUAAAAGCAAUCAAUUAGCACUUAAAGCGCAGAUCAUGUAACAAAAAAGAUAAAGCCAAACACAACAAUUAUUCUAAGCUCGAAUUAUGAACCGUGAACAAAACGUUCUGUGUUCUUAUCCCCAACAGAGUUGCCAGAGCUGUCACACCUUUUUUUCACCACACCCGCAAGGGCAUAAAGGAGUUUUUCCACUUAAAGGACAAUCACAACGGGAUUUAUUUAUUAAAUUUCAGAGUCGCCACUUGGGCGAUUAAUGGUGUCCCAAGUAAGCGGUUGAAUCCCGAACCGAGGAAAAAUACGACUCUGUUAACAGUCCGUGAACCAGAAAUCCGGAUAAGGAAUUCUGUUAACCCGGGAGAAGGUGCUAGGCAUUCCCAGAUUCCGUGGUUCUAGCAAGGUUGCUCAACCGUCUCGUUUAGCUUAUUUACCUGAUUAUAUUACAUGAAGAGCCUAUAUGCCAGUUUUUACCUUUAACUUCUUUUACUAAAAAAUUUUAGGAAAGUUGAACGUCGUUUAAUACUUGUCUUUGGAUUGCAUCACAUGAAAUGCACCCCCAACCCUAAACACAUUUUAUUCAAGCUAUUAGGAUUUGAUUUGGGCCACAUGAAAUGCACACUCGAGUUUAGGAAGGUAAAAUUAUUAAAUACGCGCCUAAUGCAUCUAACACAUUAUCAUCUUUUGGGAGGGCCGUGAAAUUCGCUAGACGGCCCUUCCUGAUUUUAUGAGUAUUAUUUUUUUACCUUUAUUGAAGGCCCCGUAGUUUGGUAUUUCAUUGGGUAAGGCUCAUCUCGUUUUUAUUUUUAAAGGCACGCCUAAAGCGAGUAUAUUUUCUAUUUUUGGUUUGUCUCUAAAAGAAAAGAAAGGAUCCUAAUGAAUUAACAUGAAAGUCCGGGUUUCAAGUUCAUAUCCGGGCCCAAACAAAAGGAAGAACGUCUUAAUUUGGACUCGCUACCUAACUCAAAACCCAAACAUCAUUUAUAAAGUAUAAAAUAGCAAGAAUUUUAAACUAGCAUGAAAUCCAAAGACACAUAAGAGCAAUUGUCAAAACAAGCCUUGGCCCAUGUCUGUGUAUGAAAGAGAACGUAACCAGACCUGGGCCUGCGUGGCCGAAGGCUUGAAGCCCAAACGGCUUGAUGGCAAUUAGAGGCCUCGUUCAAUGAGGUAUGGAAUUCAAUUCCCCAGACCCACAAACGAGCUUUAAAUAUGGUUUGGGCUAAAGUUCCUUAUCCAAACAAAUUAUUGAACAUCAAUUCCAUACUAAUUAUAUUUCUCUACAUGAAUUAGUUCAGCACUAACACUUGCAGGAAAAAAUUAAAGAUAUUAAACUCAGUGGCCUUGAAUGUUUGAAUAAGCUCACUUAUAUGAAACUAUAAUUACUAAACCCUUUCAUUCAUAUUUUUAAUUUUCCCAAUUUCACUUCACUAUUCAACUUGGACCAAAACACUUCUUAACUUUUGGCUAGUGACUCAUUCAAAUGCUCACAAGUAAUUGUAAUAUCAACUCAUAACUCACAGAUUAAGUAGAGAUCCAGAAUAGUCCUAUUUUACAAUUCGUGGCAUCCUUAUUACAAAUCAGAAACAAUGUGCCUUAGGAUCUAACCAAAUGAUUCAGAUUUAACUGUUUCAACUAUACAAACCAUACAAAUUUCAUACUCAACUACUGGAUAGAAACUUGAACAAUCAUUCAAAUAGUGCUUGGUCAUUCAAUCUUCAAAUCAGAUUUACAUGCUCUUUCACAUUUCAUAGGAAAAGUAGUAGAGGUACCAGGAAUUGAAUUGAAAUUAGAGGAAGAGAAGUCAGCCACAGAGGAAUAACCAGCAACAACGAGAUUUUAGGCAGCAAACACAGGAAGUUGAGAGUAAAACAGACUAGAGAAAUCGAGCACAAGGAAAUUUCCAAAGGUCCCAAAUUUACUUUAAAUCCACCACAAUAACACAAGAAUGAUACUAGUCGUCAAAUAAACCCACUGAAUUGACCAGUAGCUCCAGAAUCUAACAGUGAUCAACAACUCAAAAAUCAACUUGUGUAACUGAAUCUCUAAACUAAAUGAUGAAAUCUUAAAGCUAAAAAAAAACUUGAGUUCAAAUUGAAACUCUAAUAAAACAGUACUAUUUUUUGUAUUUUGGAAUUUCUUGAUUUGUUUUUAAUUUUUUUGCUGAGUUCAGCUCGUUCUUCAGAUGGAAAAAUAGGCAGUUUUCUUAAAGAAUUCUAAUGGCUUAAGAGAAGACCCCCUUUCAUAUGGCAAUGCAAUGCCUAUUUAUAGGUAAAUAAAUAACUCCUUAUUUUUAAUUCAGUCUCUGACUUAAUUAAUUUUUACCCCUCUGUAUUUCUAACUUUUCACACAAGAAAACACUACAAUUUUUCAUAAAUUACUUAAAGAGCCCUGUCUAGAAACUUCAAGGUAUUCUAAGUUUUUCUUGUACCUACCAAUUACCUAGAAUGCCCUUGCACAGUAAUUACCACUAAUCAUCCUUUACCAAAAACCCAUUGAGUAAGAUGAGGACUAAUCACUUUCAAAACAGCCUAAAUAUAAAUGAAACCUAACAAGAAGAGCAGAUUAUAUGAAGGAAAUUCAACUAAGCCAAUUGACUAUUCGGGUACCUAACAAUCAAACUAUUUAAACAAAGCAUCAAAAUUAAUCCAAACAUACAAUUAGUGGAACGAACUAAUCUGACAAUUUAACUAACUAAUUACAAAAUUCAAGUCAACUGGAAUUAAAAACAAAGAAAGGUCCCAUAAUUUACAUAUGCAACUAAACAGAGAGAAAAACUGAAAUAAAAAAGAAACUAGAAAGCUCACUGCUGAAUAAGGAAACUCCUGGCAGUUUAUCCACUUUGCGAUUUGACCAUUUCUUGCAGGCAUUGGACGUUAAGCCUAUUGAAAUCCUCAUCAGGACAGCCCAACGAACAUCUAGUAUCAACUUGGGCUGAAUUGGGCCUACUAGGGUUUUUGCCGGAAAACUUGAAAUGGAUAUUCGAGCCGUUCUGGCCACAUUCGAGCCAAGUGGCUAUGGGGUUGUGUAGAGAAUGGCUGGGCAAGACUAUGGGGUAAGUUUGGAACCUUUUGGCGUAAGUCUCAUCGUUUCCGGAAAUAUUCCAUCGAAGAUUCGAGGUGAUAGGGAAAGAUUCGAGGGAGAUUACCAUGGGGGAUGGAAAGAGGAUGGGAAGGAGCAUUUAUGGUGUUUUUAUGAUGGACAACGGCAUGCGGUGCGUUUUCCACCGGGGAGGAUUCCGGCGAGGCUCAUAGAGAUACGAGAAAGAUCGCCUUUUUCCUUUUGAGUUUUUUAUUAAACCGACCAUCUAAUAUAUUUACCCACAAGCGAUUAAGGACCGUUAGAUCAAGAACGAUUGAGGUCAAAGGACGCCCAACGAUGCCGCUUUGGUUCGCCUUCGAGAAUGGACCGG